This is a non-coding RNA of Pelobates cultripes (western spadefoot toad), 290 nucleotides long. The record is from the annotation of a GenBank genome assembly. Lineage: Eukaryota; Metazoa; Chordata; Amphibia; Anura; Pelobatidae.
CUGCAUUUUACUUGUGCAUAGAGUGACAGGUUUUUGUAACGCCACAACAGCGGGUGCAAUGUCAAUACGUCCGUAGUGAAUUAUAACCUGGCAGAUUAGACAGCACAUUUUUAUAUUUAGUGAAGGUAGCGGUCCAGCAGUGUGUACAUGGAUUCUAAUUUUACAAGUUUACAUCUGUAAGCUAUAAACAGAGGCAUGUAGGGAACCUGAGGCUUAGUGCCCAAUAUAGUUAUAGACCAACCCUUGUAGGAUUAGCUGUCCCGUCGUGAGGUACCUAUGUUGUUUUCCAA